This is a small nuclear RNA of Colobus angolensis palliatus, 58 nucleotides long. Its record names the gene U7. It matches the Rfam family "U7 small nuclear RNA". From Rfam's summary of the family: Animal histone pre-mRNAs are spliced by a different mechanism than nuclear pre-mRNAs and self-splicing introns. This processing involves the U7 snRNP, which contains only one RNA species: U7. NCBI's taxonomy places the organism in Eukaryota, Metazoa, Chordata, Mammalia, Primates, Cercopithecidae. The record is from Ensembl.
CAAUGUUACAGCUCUUUCAGAAUUUGUCUAGGUUUUCUGGUUUACCAGAAAAAAAAAA